This is a ribosomal RNA of 81 nucleotides. It matches the Rfam family "Bacterial small subunit ribosomal RNA", at positions 1 to 79 of the family's 1533-position model.
UUUCUAUGGAGAGUUUGAUCCUGGCUCAGGACGAACGCUGGCGGCGUGCCUAAUACAUGCAAGUCGAGCGGACGAAUCGAA